GGAGAUGUGACAGAAAUUAAUAAUGUGUUUGAUUUGAAAUCUUAUGAUAAGGUGUAAUUCCUUUCUUCUCUU
This 72-nucleotide transfer RNA is filed under the name Ocnus glacialis. RNAcentral describes it as "tRNA-Ser". It matches the Rfam family "tRNA". From Rfam's summary of the family: Transfer RNA (tRNA) molecules are approximately 80 nucleotides in length. Their secondary structure includes four short double-helical elements and three loops (D, anti-codon, and T loops). Further hydrogen bonds mediate the characteristic L-shaped molecular structure. tRNAs have two regions of fundamental functional importance: the anti-codon, which is responsible for specific mRNA codon recognition, and the 3' end, to which the tRNAs corresponding amino acid is attached (by aminoacyl-tRNA synthetases). tRNAs cope with the degeneracy of the genetic code in two manners: having more than one tRNA (with a specific anti-codon) for a particular amino acid; and 'wobble' base-pairing, i.e. permitting non-standard base-pairing at the 3rd anti-codon position. Lineage: Eukaryota; Metazoa; Echinodermata; Holothuroidea; Dendrochirotida; Cucumariidae. The record is from RNAcentral.